RNAcentral lists this ribosomal RNA (499 nucleotides) under uncultured bacterium. RNAcentral's name for it is "partial 16S ribosomal RNA". It matches the Rfam family "Bacterial small subunit ribosomal RNA", at positions 28 to 507 of the family's 1533-position model. The record is from RNAcentral.
GACGAACGCUGGCGGCGUGCCUAAUACAUGCAAGUCGAGCGGACUUUCAAGAAGCUUGCUUUUUGAAAGUUAGCGGCGGACGGGUGAGUAACACGUGGGCAACCUGCCUGCAAGACGGGGAUAACUCCGGGAAACCGGGGCUAAUACCGGAUAAUAUCUUCCUUCGCAUGAAGGAAGGUUGAAAGGCGGCGCAAGCUGCCGCUUGCAGAUGGGCCCGCGGCGCAUUAGCUAGUUGGGGAGGUAACGGCUCCCCAAGGCGACGAUGCGUAGCCGACCGGAGGGGGUGGUCGGCCAAACGGGGACUUGGACACGGCCCAGACUCCUACGGGAGGCAGCAAUAGGGAAUCUUCCGCAAUGGACGAAAGUCUGACGGAGCAACGCCGCGUGGGCGAAGAAGGUCUUCGGAUCGUAAAGCUCUGUUGUCAGGGAAGAACAAGUACCGUUCGAACAGGGCGGUACCUUGACGGUACCUGACCAGAAAGCCACGGCUAACUACGUG